GCUUGAUGUCAAAUACACAGAAACUUUUUAUCAUGGGAAGCACGAUCUUGAUUCUACUUGUUGCUGCGGUCGCAGCUUUGGGAUUUUUCGAACCAAUAGAUAUAAAGAUGACAAAAUAGUAUGGAUAAUUUAUCAUUUUCUGAAAAGGAAUGAAACAUGACUAAUUAAGAGACAAGAGAA
Vespa crabro (European hornet) is the source of this 180-nucleotide long non-coding RNA. RefSeq lists it as uncharacterized. The transcript has 2 exons. The record is from RefSeq and is a predicted model, not a curated record. NCBI's taxonomy places the organism in Eukaryota, Metazoa, Arthropoda, Insecta, Hymenoptera, Vespidae.